This 69-nucleotide transfer RNA is filed under the name Bos taurus (domestic cattle). It matches the Rfam family "tRNA". From Rfam's summary of the family: Transfer RNA (tRNA) molecules are approximately 80 nucleotides in length. Their secondary structure includes four short double-helical elements and three loops (D, anti-codon, and T loops). Further hydrogen bonds mediate the characteristic L-shaped molecular structure. tRNAs have two regions of fundamental functional importance: the anti-codon, which is responsible for specific mRNA codon recognition, and the 3' end, to which the tRNAs corresponding amino acid is attached (by aminoacyl-tRNA synthetases). tRNAs cope with the degeneracy of the genetic code in two manners: having more than one tRNA (with a specific anti-codon) for a particular amino acid; and 'wobble' base-pairing, i.e. permitting non-standard base-pairing at the 3rd anti-codon position. The record is from Rfam by way of RNAcentral. RNAcentral also lists the same sequence under 5 other names. Lineage: Eukaryota; Metazoa; Chordata; Mammalia; Artiodactyla; Bovidae.
UCUGAUGGCUCAGAUGGUAAAGCAUCUGCCUGCAAUGCAGGAGACCCGGGUUCGAUCCCUGCAUUGGGA